UACAGAGACUGCAAGCGUUAUUCGGAUUCACUGGGCGUAAAGGGUGCGCAGGCGGCCAAGUGUGUGAGGCGUGAAAGCCCGGGGCUUAACCCCGGAAUUGCACCUCAAACUACAUGGCUAGAGCAUUGGAGAGGGUAGCAGAAUUCAUGGUAUAGCAGUGAAAUGCGUAGAUAUCAUGAGGAAUACCAGAGGCGAAGGCGGCUACCUGGACAAUUGCUGACGCUCAGGCACGAAAGCGUGGGGAGCAAAAGGG
Molecule: ribosomal RNA, 253 nt
Filed under: uncultured bacterium
Lineage: Bacteria
Description: partial 16S ribosomal RNA
Rfam family: Bacterial small subunit ribosomal RNA
Source: RNAcentral